UACGUAGGGGGCAAGCGUUGUCCGGAAUCAUUGGGCGUAAGGCGCGUGUAGGCGGCCAGAAAAGUCCGCUGUGAAAACUCGAGGCUCAACUUCGAGCUGUCGGUGGAAACUUUCUGGCUAGAGUCCGGAAGAGGAGAAUGGAAUUCCUGGUGUAGCGGUGAAAUGCGUAGAUAUCAGGAGGAAUACCGGUGGCGAAGGCGGCCUUCUGGACGGUGACUGACGCUGAGACGCGAAAGCGUGGGGAGCAAACAGG
RNAcentral lists this ribosomal RNA (253 nucleotides) under uncultured bacterium. Its description in RNAcentral is "partial 16S ribosomal RNA". It matches the Rfam family "Bacterial small subunit ribosomal RNA", at positions 524 to 776 of the family's 1533-position model. The record is from RNAcentral.